This 533-nucleotide ribosomal RNA is filed under the name Escherichia coli. RNAcentral describes it as "partial 23S ribosomal RNA". It matches the Rfam family "Bacterial large subunit ribosomal RNA", at positions 1217 to 1751 of the family's 2925-position model. The record is from RNAcentral. Lineage: Bacteria; Pseudomonadati; Pseudomonadota; Gammaproteobacteria; Enterobacterales; Enterobacteriaceae.
UGUGUUGUUGGGUAGGGGAGCGUUCUGUAAGCCUGUGAAGGUGUGCUGUGAGGUAUGCUGGAGGUAUCAGAAGUGCGAAUGCUGACAUAAGUAACGAUAAAGCGGGUGAAAAGCCCGCUCGCCGGAAGACCAAGGGUUCCUGUCCAACGUUAAUCGGGGCAGGGUGAGUCGACCCCUAAGGCGAGGCCGAAAGGCGUAGUCGAUGGGAAACAGGUUAAUAUUCCUGUACUUGGUGUUACUGCGAAGGGGGGACGGAGAAGGCUAUGUUGGCCGGGCGACGGUUGUCCCGGUUUAAGCGUGUAGGCUGGUUUUCCAGGCAAAUCCGGAAAAUCAAGGCUGAGGCGUGAUGACGAGGCACUACGGUGCUGAAGCAACAAAUGCCCUGCUUCCAGGAAAAGCCUCUAAGCAUCAGGUAACAUCAAAUCGUACCCCAAACCGACACAGGUGGUCAGGUAGAGAAUACCAAGGCGCUUGAGAGAACUCGGGUGAAGGAACUAGGCAAAAUGGUGCCGUAACUUCGGGAGAAGGCACGC